This 485-nucleotide ribosomal RNA is filed under the name uncultured bacterium. Its description in RNAcentral is "partial 16S ribosomal RNA". It matches the Rfam family "Bacterial small subunit ribosomal RNA", at positions 30 to 508 of the family's 1533-position model. The record is from RNAcentral.
AUUGAACGCUGGCGGCAGGCCUAACACAUGCAAGUCGAGCGGAUGAAGGGAGCUUGCUCCUGGAUUCAGCGGCGGACGGGUGAGUAAUGCCUAGGAAUCUGCCUGGUAGUGGGGGAUAACGUCCGGAAACGGGCGCUAAUACCGCAUACGUCCUGAGGGAGAAAGUGGGGGAUCUUCGGACCUCACGCUAUCAGAUGAGCCUAGGUCGGAUUAGCUAGUUGGUGGGGUAAAGGCCUACCAAGGCGACGAUCCGUAACUGGUCUGAGAGGAUGAUCAGUCACAUUGGAACUGAGACACGGUCCAGACUCCUACGGGAGGCAGCAGUGGGGAAUAUUGGACAAUGGGCGAAAGCCUGAUCCAGCCAUGCCGCGUGUGUGAAGAAGGUCUUCGGAUUGUAAAGCACUUUAAGUUGGGAGGAAGGGCAGUAAGUUAAUACCUUGCUGUUUUGACGUUACCAACAGAAUAAGCACCGGCUAACUUCGUGC